UACGGAGGGUGCGAGCGUUAAUCGGAAUUACUGGGCGUAAAGAGCGAGUAGGCGGCGUGAUAAGCCGGAUGUGAAAGCACCGGGCUCAACCUGGGAACGGCAUCCGGAACUGUCAGGCUAGAGUGCAUGAGAGGAAGGUAGAAUUCCCGGUGUAGCGGUGAAAUGCGUAGAGAUCGGGAGGAAUACCAGUGGCGAAGGCUGCCUUCUGUACUGACACUGACGCUGAGGUGCGAAAGCGUGGGUAGCAAACAGG
This 253-nucleotide unclassified non-coding RNA is filed under the name uncultured Halomonadaceae bacterium. RNAcentral describes it as "contains 16S-23S intergenic spacer region". It matches the Rfam family "Bacterial small subunit ribosomal RNA", at positions 524 to 776 of the family's 1533-position model. Lineage: Bacteria; Pseudomonadati; Pseudomonadota; Gammaproteobacteria; Oceanospirillales; Halomonadaceae. The record is from RNAcentral.